Molecule: ribosomal RNA, 253 nt
Filed under: uncultured bacterium
Lineage: Bacteria
Description: partial 16S ribosomal RNA
Rfam family: Bacterial small subunit ribosomal RNA
Source: RNAcentral
UACGGAGGGGGCUAGCGUUGUUCGGAAUUACUGGGCGUAAAGCGCGCGUAGGCGGACCUGCAAGUCGGGGGUGAAAGCCCGAGGCUCAACCUCGGAACUGCCUUCGAUACUGCGGGUCUCGAGUCCGGAAGAGGUGAGUGGAAUUCCUAGUGUAGAGGUGAAAUUCGUAGAUAUUAGGAAGAACACCAGUGGCGAAGGCGGCUCACUGGCUCGGUACUGACGCUGAGGCGCGAAAGCGUGGGGAGCAAACAGG